AUUUUAACUAAAAUAUCAAAUUAUGUGGAUCUAUUUAGGUGACAUAUAAAAGAAAUAAUGAAUGUUUUUAUGACCUGAAAGAU
Molecule: long non-coding RNA, 83 nt
Organism: Thalassophryne amazonica
Lineage: Eukaryota; Metazoa; Chordata; Actinopteri; Batrachoidiformes; Batrachoididae
Exons: 3
Source: RefSeq, a predicted model, not a curated record